UACGUAGGGUGCAAGCGUUAAUCGGAAUUACUGGGCGUAAAGCGUGCGCAGGCGGUUUUGUAAGUCUGAUGUGAAAUCCCCGGGCUCAACCUGGGAAUUGCAUUGGAGACUGCAAGGCUAGAAUCUGGCAGAGGGGGGUAGAAUUCCACGUGUAGCAGUGAAAUGCGUAGAGAUGUGGAGGAACACCGAUGGCGAAGGCAGCCCCCUGGGUCAAGAUUGACGCUCAUGCACGAAAGCGUGGGGAGCAGACAGG
RNAcentral lists this ribosomal RNA (253 nucleotides) under uncultured bacterium. Its description in RNAcentral is "partial 16S ribosomal RNA". It matches the Rfam family "Bacterial small subunit ribosomal RNA", at positions 524 to 776 of the family's 1533-position model. The record is from RNAcentral.